UGAAGGUGAGACGAGAAAGAGCUGCUCCACAGUCAAGGUUGUGAACAACAAAGGAACAGUUAUCCUUUUAGGGUCUUCCUCCUCCAGGCUUUUGAGGACAAAGAUGAAUUAUUUUUAAAAAGAAGCCAGUAUGGAGGCACCUGAAUCAGUGAAAGUAAUUCCACCAGGGUCCUUCUCAAGCAGUACACUCAGCAUCGCAGCAUCAGGCCACCAUGGCUUUGGACUACGUCUUGCUGAAAGACAAGGGGAGGAAAUGUGCUACUGGAGGCCAGAGCAUCUGGGGCUUGGACGAGGGCCACCCGGACAGGAGCUGUAACCAUGGAAGGGGGAAGCCAUGGCCAGAGAUGCAGCACCAGGGAUCUUCCUGACCCAGGCAUUGAACCCGAGUCUCCUGCAUCGCAGAUGGAUUCUUGACCGCUGAGGCAUCAGGCAAGCCCACUGGAUCCAUGCUUAAGAAAUACUCCAAGGGAGCUAUAAGGAGCCAGGACAGAGUUAAGUCUCUGUAUCCAAAGAAUCUACUCCACAUCCCUACUCACUUGCUUUAUCUGUUUAGCAAACU
Long non-coding RNA from Cervus elaphus (red deer), 559 nucleotides. RefSeq lists it as uncharacterized. The transcript has 4 exons. Lineage: Eukaryota; Metazoa; Chordata; Mammalia; Artiodactyla; Cervidae. The record is from RefSeq and is a predicted model, not a curated record.